Molecule: long non-coding RNA, 5469 nt
Organism: Pezoporus occidentalis (night parrot)
Lineage: Eukaryota; Metazoa; Chordata; Aves; Psittaciformes; Psittacidae
Exons: 2
Source: RefSeq, a predicted model, not a curated record
ACACUGGCACAGGUUGCCCAGAGAAGCUGUGGCUGCCCCAUCCCUGGCAGUGUUCAAGGCCAGGUUGGAUGGGGCUUGGAGCAACCUAGUCUAGUGGAAGGUGUCACUGCCCAUGGCAGGGGGAUUAGAACCAGAUAAUCCUUAAGGUCCCUUCCAACCCAAACCAUUCUAUGAUUUUCAGGUAGCCAGAGUAGAGAGCAAAUGUCCUUGAAUAGCUUGGGUAAGUCGGGUGGGUCCUCUGGAGCAAGGUUUCUCCAACCCUCCUGAAGAAAAUCCAGUUUUGAAUGGUAGCACAUUAGCUUUUGGCAGUGACGAGUAAAAGAAAAAGGAAAAUAUCUAUCUAAACUGAACAUAUUAUCAUUAGGUUGCAAGAAAUCUUUCUGGAGGGAACACAGCAAACCACUAAGCUUCUUCACAAAAUUAGCUUAUCAAAUAGCCAAGGGAUGAGUACAUUUCUGCACCUGGAAUAAAGGUGCAGUGGGUUUCACAGGUAACUUCUUCAGUAUCACCAAGAAAACAGGAAGAGCUGCAGGAGCAUAGGAAGGUCCACAAGGGAGCGAUGCAGCUGGAACAGUCACUGCACCAGGGAAAAGGUGGGAGAAGGAAGUUUUGGGAUGGAAGGAGGGACCUCAAACUGUGCCAUGACCUUUCAGGCUUUCUCUGUGACAUGAAAUGACGCCUAGGAAGGCACCAUCACGCCAUUUAACUCCCUGAUGUCAGUGUAACCCUACUUCUGAUCCAUCCUUUGCUCAGGGGAAGUAAGAUGAGCAUUUACAGGUAAAUAAUCAUAUCAAAGCAGUACUUGAGCCCACAACUCAUUUCAACAGGAACUUCAUGAACUGAAGGACAUUUGCACUAUGGAGAUCACUUUGCCACGUCUCAAGCAGCGAAUUAUGGGAAAGUUUGUUUUCUUUUAAUUGUAUUCCUCUAUAACCAUCAUCAGUUCACAGCCACUUGCAAGACAAAAGACUUACUUGGCUUGCCAGUACUUCCUGCUUCUAAAAGUUUUGCUGGAAUUAAGUAAGGUUCUGGAGUUUCCCAUUCAUCGUUUUAGAAACUGUAUGUUUUUACUCUCCUGUCCAGUACAUGCAUCGUAAGACGGGGUAGCUGACCACGGGUUUUGAGCUAGUGCUAUUAAUCCCCAUUAAUAAAGCAGCAAAAGGCAAUGCAUAGUAAGCAGAUCACUACAUUAUUCAUCUAACAAAGACAAAUGCUACACACUGUUAUUUUUUAAGUGAGACAAAACUGCAGUUGCUGAGAAGACUGAAGAGAGUAAUUUUUUCAGCUAAUCAUGAGAAAUGACUCUUUUGUGCAUAAGAGACACUGCCACUUGCGCUUAGUGACUUCCAACUAGCUCAAGAGGUUUCUUACCUGGCCAUGCAACAAGAUGCCAGCUGAAAUGUUCUGGUGGUGAAAGCACUGAAGAAAUCUCUUAAAUUAGGCGACCUUAAAACAAAACCAAUGAACCUGAGCUACAGAACCAGUUUACACACUUACUCAGACUCUUGAUUCCACUCAGUUCUGGGGUUUCAGGUGCUAACAAGUGCUUUGAAUCCUUUUUUUCCAUUUGUUUGUAGAUGCCUUUCUGACAGCACUGCUGCUUUUUGCAGAGCUCUGCCUUUUCAGUAGCCCGAUAAAUGGGCAGAACUCUUUCCCAAAGAGCAGCUAAGGAAACAGAUCAGUGAUAGAGCUGUUUUAGGGAGUGAGUUGUCUUUUACCUGGAGCUGUAGGUAGACUGAAGUGGAGAAAACAAAGCUGUGACUCGACCUGUGCUUGGGUGAGAUGACUGGAGAGUAAGAUGAAGAGCAGCCGGUCAGAUAACCACAGGCGCUCAGGACAGGUGGUCUUUGUAGCCCAUCUCUGUUUCUGGGACCCUGAACGCCAGUCCUUUUGCCCAGUGGAAGUGAAGAUGCCCCCAUUAAGCGUGUAUCUACCAGCAUCCCAUUGCCCAAACCUCCAAGUGCUGAGCAACCAGUUCCCUGAUGCAUCAUGUCCAGCACUGCUGUCAUCUGCUUGCCUCCACGAUAUUAGGAGGAUAGAGGAGAACAAAGAACUUGUCUUCACAACAGAGUGGAAAGGAGGGUGGCACCCCCACCAUCCCAGGGAUGCUCUUCCUGCAGGAUCAAACCCCAGCAAGCUUUCAGCCAGACUACUCAUACACACAGAAGCUGAAAUGGAGCCAGCACCCUGGAUGAGGUGCAGUCCUGGAGCUGUGCCACACGAGCAGUGUGGGGGAGCUCCCACUGCACUUGGCAGGGGAGGUGGAACACCAGCUGCCUGGCACAGACCACAGCCACUACAAGCUUUUUUUUUGCCCCACUCUGAACACAGAACAUGGCAAUUAUUUGCACAGGGUGAAGUGGGUUCCUCUGGACAAUGAUAACAGAAAUCACUCUGAACUCAAGACACACUACAAGUGAGAAAAUUAAACCUAAGGUAUUCUUUCUAUCUAGGAAACUCUCCCAGGAAAGGAUAUACUACAGCUUCCUUAGGUUUUUUGCAUGUGUAAGAUGUGCCCAUGACCUUUUGCACACAUUAGGAUGUAAAAGCCACUGUUGCUCCUGCACUGAAGAACUGAAGCAGAAAACAAGGAAGGUUGCAUUUUACAUGAUGAAAACAAUCUGGAAAGAAAAUGCCUCAGUGCCAACAUACUUGCUGCAGGGAAGGCAAUUCCACAGACUGCAUGGACUGGGAGCAGACGUGGCUGAGGCUUUGCAGCUUCCUCCUGAACCGUCUUGCUUUUUUCCUUAGCCUGUAGGAUGCCAGGUUUUGAGUCAUGAUUUACUCUUCCUGCAUGCAUGGAAGAAGUCUGCCUUCUCAUGGCCAUAAAAUGCCCGUCUCAAGCUGCCUUGUCAGACAUGAAUGGAAGGUAAACAGGCGGAUGGGCUCACAGAUUAAAACUUCAAAACUGGUUAGAGGAUUGAAGAUGAACUCAAGUCAGAUGCAACCCUAGGGCAGGAUUCAGCUCACAAGAGAUGACGGAGGAAGUGCUGCCUUCAUCAUUCACAGGAUACUGAGCACAGCUUUCACACCUGGAAAUGGGGAGUUAGCCAGAGCUGCAGCCUAAGCCAUAGGAGUACACAGGUUGUGCAGCCACCCAGCAGCAUGGGUCACCUCUGCCCAGCGAGCGCUAAAGUCUCAGGAUGGUUUCAUGCUUCCAGUAUCCAAACUGCAAGUGGAUCAGUGCUCAUCAGUUUGUGAGCAAAACAAGGCAAGCUGCCACCUAGCUGAAGGUUUGGCUGCCUAACCACACACAGCAAAGCAAUGCUGGCCUAACUGCAAACCAUAGCACUAAACGCAAUGGACACAUUUGAGUACACAUCCAUUUUUCCAUAGAAAAUUAUUAGUUUUCAUGGACAGUCCUUCAAGACAGGACUUUCGCCCACACAAUACUUGUGUCAGCACAUAGGAAGGCUUCCUUGCAUGUGAACUGUUUUCUCUCACAGGAUGAAGCUGUUCCAGUCUCCAGCCUCAUCAGGAUGUGUCCUGAGUGCAGCUGUGUGUAACAGCUCAGACCACAGUAUGGUUCUAAGGAAAAGCAGAAAGAUGAGCACAGAACUGUGAAAUCCAUUGUCAUGUCUUGCAUAAGCAAAGCAAGGCAGAUAAUAUAAAAUUUGGCAAAAAAAAAUACAGAUAUUGUUCAGGAUAUGACUUGGGGCUCAGAAAAAUCUUCCUGGGAAAACAGUCAGAACAGACAAGUAGGACAACUUCCCCUGGGACACAAAAGCAUUAUGGAAACCCACAGAGCCCAUGGGCUGAAGAGUUUGUGCUACUCUGCAGAGUAUCAAUCCCACAGGAAAGACAUCCUUUCUCCUGAGGGGCAAGCAGGACCAUCCAUGGGAUUUUCUCUUUUCAUCUUCCACACCCUUGAAGAAUGAUGUCUUCUGCGGACAAAGCCUUGAGCCACCGCUCCCAGUUUGCACUCUGAGGGCUCUGACUACAGAGACCAUCACCUUGCAGUGAAAGGCUGUGACAGAAAGCUGGUGUCAUUCAUUACACCGUCUCCUUCCCUUCUCUUCCAUUAAAACAUGACCUCGCCGGAAAUAAACAUUGCUGAAGCCUGGGAACUGGUCUGAGGGAAAAAAACAGCAGAGAUGCCUAAAAAAUGUAAAGUAGUAGCUGCUGCUGCCACCACAGCUGGACACCUCUUUGCCAGACAAGACCUGGAGGUGAUACCCAGCCUGCCAGAGCCUCUUCCCCACCAGAGAAGAACCAGGGCUGAUGCAGCCAUCUCUUGAAUCAAAUUCUCAUCUCUUCUUCAUUUCCAGCGUCACGCCAUGCACAGCCUGCAACACCAACAGAGCAGCACCUUUUGCUGAUAGCUUCUGGAGGCCGUACUAGAACAGAGCUACAGACCCCAAGAGUCUUGUUCUCAGACAGCAUGCAAAAGCCCCCAGCCCUGGCAGUGGUGCAGAUAUAUCCACCAAAUACACAAGAAGCACUGUAUAAAAUUAUAAACGGAUAAGCACUGAUCAAUUUACAACAAAAUCCAAAACGUCCUGCAUUUACAGUUAUCCCAGUUUAAAGAAGAGGAUUCUUCAUAAAGGUACCUUACCCAAUGACUGAAAUAGAAGCAACUCUCUACCCAAUUCCUAUGUGACUACAGCUGUACAGCUGGUGCAUGUCACCAGCAAAAACUGAAGGCAAAUGGGAAGCCUGGAGUCAAGCCUCCUGAGUCCUGCUGCUCCAGUGAUCCAGUCCUACACACAAAUACUACCCCAGCAAGUACUACUGAGGAAAAGCCUGUCCUGCAAUUCCCAACAGACAGCUAGGGGAAUUCUGCACACCCAGGAAUGACAGCAAGCAGAAAGGCUGUUCACAUCAGCUUCUGCUCAUCCUGGGCAACUGACCUACCCUAAACAACACAAUCUACUGACUACAACCCUCACAUAAGGCUCAAGAUAAGCAUCUACCACAUGACGCAUAUUUAUGAUAACACUUUGGAGCAGGACACAAGUGUCCAGCAGAAAGGAAACCCCACAGAAGUGCUGCUCUUAUUUCAGAUAUUGAGAGUAAGUUCUGUGUUUUUUGUAUUUGGUAUCACCUAGCUUCUCAGUGCUCAAGGAAAAGAAAGAUGAACUACUCUGCCUCCUGUUUCCGUAAUAUGGACUAGCUAGCAAGGGCUCAGAAUGCUUCGCUUCCCACCAAUGUCCUAGUCUUAAUAACAAUACAAGGAUACACACACCUUUCCCAUGGAUCAUCAGCAGUACAUGAGACACUUUUGCUAGUCUAUGUUUACCCUGUAGUGCCAGGUUAAUUCAGCAGCCUGCAGCACUUACUUUCAAGCUAGAAGCAGAAACAUCAUUCCACCUCUGAGCUCUGGUUUACAAGGAUUAUCAGCUUCAUAUAAGGCUUAAGCACUUUCCCCAAAGGAACUGUAAAGACAAGCUGCCAACCUAAUGCAAAUCCUGCCACAGAAGCUGACACCCUAUAAACCACAGUGUCUGUGGGGCAAGGGAGGGUAAGGGG